UCUUUUUCCUUUUUAUCGGUACCAGGGAUUGAACUCACAACUGCCUGCUUGGAAGACAGGCGCUUAUGCCACUGAGCUAAAUCCCCAGCCCAAUACAAAACUUUAUGACUUCGCUUGUUUCUUGGCAUGGAUCCCCAACACUUGACCCUUCAAUUUCAGAAGCCAAUUUGAAACAAAGGGGCAGAAUGCUGCAGGAAGAAAGUGGAAAUGACAAGACUUGGGUCAUGUGAAUGUUGAG
Molecule: long non-coding RNA, 238 nt
Filed under: Cavia porcellus (domestic guinea pig)
Lineage: Eukaryota; Metazoa; Chordata; Mammalia; Rodentia; Caviidae
Description: lncRNA (ENSCPOG00000037453.1)
Source: RNAcentral